GCGGAUCAUGGGCGUUCGGCCACUUUCCUUACCGAGCUAAAAAAUAAGGUGGAGAGGUGCACCACUCCGGUCUUGGUGGCUGGGGAUUUUAACCUCAUUAGGCGGGCUUCAGAUAAAAGCUCUCCUAAUGUUGAUCGGGUCCGCAUGCGUCUAUUUAAUGACUGCAUUGCAGACCUUGCUCUUCGUGAGAUAGCCCGUGUAGGGGCGAGGUUCAUGUGGAUGAAUAAGCAGAUAGACCCCAUUCAGAGUGUCUUGGAUUGGGUCUUUGUGUCGGCUCAGUGGGAAGUGAUGUUCCCAUUGUGCUCCCUCAAGGUCAUG
Molecule: ribosomal RNA, 318 nt
Filed under: Triticum aestivum (bread wheat)
Lineage: Eukaryota; Viridiplantae; Streptophyta; Magnoliopsida; Poales; Poaceae
Description: partial small subunit ribosomal RNA
Source: RNAcentral